CCCUUAGAUGUUCUGGGCCGCACGCGUGCUACACUGAGUGGAUCAGCGGGUCAGGUUGCGCGAAAGUGUUUCCUAAUCUUGAAAUCCGCUCGUGAUGGGGAUUGACGGUUGCAAUUUUCCGUCAUGAACGAGGAAUACCUUGUAAGCGCGGGUCAUCAUCCCGCGCUGAAUACGUCCCUGCCCUUUGUACACACCGCCCGUCGCUCCUACCGAUUGAAUGAUCCGAUGAAUAUCAUGGAUUGAGGAUUAUAGCAGGUUCGCCUGUCUUGAUCUUCGAGAAGUGAAGUAAAUCUUAUCAUUUAGAGGAAGGAGAAGUCGUAACA
This 323-nucleotide ribosomal RNA is filed under the name uncultured eukaryote. RNAcentral describes it as "partial 18S ribosomal RNA". It matches the Rfam family "Eukaryotic small subunit ribosomal RNA", at positions 1470 to 1796 of the family's 1831-position model. The record is from RNAcentral.